AGGAUUUUAGUUUAUUAAAACAUUUGAUUUGCAUUCAAAAAAUAUUAUAAUAUUAAUAUAUCUUA
RNAcentral lists this transfer RNA (65 nucleotides) under Orybina plangonalis. RNAcentral describes it as "tRNA-Ala". It matches the Rfam family "tRNA". Rfam says of the family: Transfer RNA (tRNA) molecules are approximately 80 nucleotides in length. Lineage: Eukaryota; Metazoa; Arthropoda; Insecta; Lepidoptera; Pyralidae. The record is from RNAcentral.